Long non-coding RNA from Sander lucioperca (pikeperch), 989 nucleotides. RefSeq lists it as uncharacterized. Lineage: Eukaryota; Metazoa; Chordata; Actinopteri; Perciformes; Percidae. The transcript is spliced from 3 exons. The record is from RefSeq and is a predicted model, not a curated record.
UUUUAUUUUCUUUGUAUGUAAAUGAUCUUCCAAAUGUUUGUCUUAAUGCCAACACCCAAAUGUAUGCAGAUGACACAGUAAUCUUUGUACAUGCUGACAAUGCAGCUCAAGCUGCUGAUCUGCUAACAAACUCAAUGCAAAAGAUAACAGAAUGGCUAAAUCACAAUUGCCUUCAACUGAAUGUAUCUAAAACUGUAUGUAUGUUUUUUAGUAAAUCUAAAAGUUGCUGUGCAGAAUCUGAUGUAGUCGUAGCAGGGGAGAGACUACAAGUCAUCUCAGAUUUGAAAUACCUUGGAGUAUACAUUGAUAACAAUCUUAAUUUUAAAUCAUAUAUUAAGAAGGUUUGUAAUCGCAUUAAGUUCAACCUGGCAAACUUUAGACAUGUCUGCAAUUGCAUGUCAACAGGGGCUGCAAUGAUGUUUAUGCACUCAAUGAUUUUAUCCCAUAUCACCUACUGUUUGACAACCUGGUCACAAGCAAGCAACACUUCUCUCAAACCACUACUCUCCCUAUAUAAAAAACUCUUAAAGUGCUUGAUAGGAAACCCAUAUAUUAUCAUCAUUGUCAUGUUUUAAAAAAAAAAAACCUUUUAAGUUUCGAAAAUUUGAUUAGAUAUACAGAUCUCUGUCUUAUGUACAAAAUUCUACAUGGACUGGCUCCUCAUGUAUUGAGCCAGUUUGUAACCAAAUGCUUACAGAUCUACAAUGAGUGCAGCAAGAGGUGACUGCAUUGUCCCGUUGAGGAAAAGUGCAUUCGGUCAAACAGCUUUUUCAGUCAGGGCUGCUCGUGAAUGGAACCUCAUUCCAACUCACAUUAGAAAUUUUAAAACAUACGUUUCUUUUAAAUUUAACUUAAAGAAGUGGCUAACAGGUAAUCAGGAGUGUCGACAUUACAUAUAGACACUAAAUCUUGCUGCUAUCUUGUCUUUCCUGUCCUGCCUGUUUGUGCCACUUGUGCUAUGCCUAUGAGGUUGUUGGACUGAAAGUGUG